This 3075-nucleotide ribosomal RNA is filed under the name Triticum aestivum (bread wheat). Its description in RNAcentral is "partial small subunit ribosomal RNA". Lineage: Eukaryota; Viridiplantae; Streptophyta; Magnoliopsida; Poales; Poaceae. The record is from RNAcentral.
AUGGCCAUCGAGCAGAUAGAGAAGCCGCAGCCGCAGCAGAAGCAGGGCCAGGGCGAUGAAGACGACGACUCAAAGCUGUACGAGUUCAAGGAGCAGCUCCUGCUGCUGUCGACAUUGGUGGCGACGGUGACGUACGUCGCCGGGCUGAACCUGCCCGGGGGAUCCUGGGAGCAGGAUGACCCGGAAGGGCACAUGGCCGGCGAUCCGAUCCUACUGGCUACCCACUACCGCCGGUACCUUGCCUUCUACUACUGCAACGCCACAGCACUCGCCGCGUCGCUCGUGGUCUCCCUCAUCCUUGUCAUCCUGCCGAAGAAUAGCACACCCUGGACCGUGGUGCUGCAGAUGGUCAUGGUGCUCGACCUACUAGGCCUCAUGGGCGCCUACGGUGCCGGGAGCUGCCGGGAUGCAUUUACAACCAUCUACGCAGUGGCCGCCUUCUCCUUUUCGGUAUUGGUCAUCAUCUCUGUUUUCCUUUCCUUAUUGGCCAAGGCCAAUAGGGAUCGUGCCGUCGGCUCCGACACCAUACCAAUCACCAUCAGUGGUGAUGAUAAGGAUGUCAACUUGGGCUCCAAUUCCAUCACCACCAAUGGUGAUGGUAAUAAGGUUCAGUCGUCCAAGCCCCGCCGUAACUUCAUGAAGCGAGCCAGGGAGAUCUAUGCGGGGGUGGUAAUCCGAAAGGAGGGCAAGAACCGAGGUGAGAAAGAGAUGGUUGAUGUGUUGAUGUUACUAGCAACAUUUGCAGUCACAAUCACAUAUGUCGCCGGGCUGAGCCCGCCUGGUGGGUUCUGGACCAGCACCCAGGACGGCCAUCGUUUGAGCGACCCGGUGUUACAAGCCCGUAACCGGUACCGUGUCUUCUUCAUUUGCAACACCACUUCAUUCACCGUGUCCCUGCUCAUCAUUGUGUUGCUCCUGGAGAAGAAGCUGCUCGGGUGGAAGAAGUUGAGGCUUGUGGCACUCUGCGGGUUGAUCGUCGUCGUCCUGCUGGGCCUCAUGGGGGCCUAUGCUGCUGGGAGCUGCAGAGAGGCUGGCAAAACUAUCUUGGUCCUUACUGUUCCUGUCAGCGUAUGCCUCCUGCUGGCGCUUGUUUUCAUUUGGGGAUCACUGGCGGACCGGCUUGAUUCUGUCAUAACAUGGUUCAGGGAACUGGUCAAUAUUAAGAUUCCUUCAGGUACAUGUAGAGGCACGAAUGUUGUCCUACACGAACAGAACACUCGCGAUCUUGUUAUGCUCCUCGCUACUCUUGUGGUGACCAUCACUUACCAAGCAGGACUAGAUCCACCCGGCGGCCUUUGGCCAGAUGACCGAGAUGGUCAUAAUAUUGGUCACCCGGUGCUCCAAACGACACAUCCUACUAGGUACAGAGUUUUCUUCUAUAGCAACUCCGCAGCUUUCGUCACAUCCUUGGUCGUCAUCAUGAUGCUCCAGAGCAAGUUUCUGCUCAACCGGCACACACUAGAAGCAACCCUGGUGCUCGACCUAUUCGGCCUCAUCACUGCCUAUGGCGCCGGGAGCACUAGGGAGGUAACCCAAUCCAUCUACAUCGUCGCCUUGGCAGGAAUUGUCCUAGUCUAUGUCAUCGUCCAUAUCACCAUUAGAGAUCAUGACCCUGAGCCAGUGGGUGAUGAUGCAGUAAAGCAUCUCGAUGACAAGCGCAAGGUACUGUUGCUGGUCGCUGUCUUGGCUGCCACCCUCACAUACCAAGCUGGCCUCACCCCGCCAGGUGGCUUCUGGUUAGCAGAUGACCGAGAGCUCGGUCGUCGUGCGGGCUUCCCAAUCCUCCUUGACAAUUACACUCGCCGUUACAACACAUUCUUCUACUGCAAUGCAGCAAGCUUCAUGGCCUCCGUAACCCUCAUCCUUCUUCUUGUCAAUCCAAAGUUAUACAGGCCAGGCAUACGCUGCCGUGCGCUCUAUGUGUGCAUGCUGGUGGGCAUGUUUGGCCUCAUGGGUGCCUACGCUGCUGGAAGCUCCCGGAAUCUCAAGACCUCCGUCUAUGUAUUGACACUCGUUGGUGCAGUGCUAGCCUUCAUAGCCUCACUACUAGCCAUUUUCUGGUUGCUGCCUUAUCUCAAAUCCCAAGAAGGUAGAGUUUUCUGCUUCGACCCUUUUGGCAAAUCUCAAAAAGGUACAGAUGGGCAAGUUGUAGCUGGUCAUAGCUGCAGAAAAUCCCAUGAAGGUACAGAAGGGCAAGUUGAAGCAGGUCAUAGCAGCAGCAAAUUCCAUGAAGGUACAGAUGAGCAACUUGAAGCAGGUCAUAGCAGCAGAAAAUCCCAUGAAGGUACAGAUGGGCAAGUUGAAGCAGGUCAUAGCAGCAGCAAAUCCCAUGAAGGUACUGAUGAGCAACUUGAGGCAGGUCAUAGCAGCAGCAAAUCCCAUGAAGGUACAGAUGGGCGAAUUGAAGCAGGUCAUAGCAGCGGCAACAAAAUUAGCAGCAAGAAAGAAAAACUUCAAUACUUGAUGCUGCUAGGGAUCCUGGCUGCAAGUAUGACAUACCAGACUGGCCUAAAACCACCGGGUGGCCUGUGGCAGGACAACAAUGAUGGGCACUAUGCUGGCAACCCCAUUCUCCACGACAUCAACAAGGACCGGUACAAUGCUUUCUUCUACAGCAACUCCGCCUCCUUCAUGGCCUCAAUUGUGGCCGUCGUCAUGCUGCUUCCAUUGACAUUGUUCCCCGAGAAAUACACAACAAAGUCAUUCAAGAAAGACACAAAGUCACCCGGCGAGGACACAAAGUCGCUCGACAAAAUCAUGAAGCCGGCCGAGAAAGACCCGAAGCUGACCGAGAAAGACAAGGAGUCGCCCAAGAAAGACACAUGGCCACUCUGGCCGAUGCAUAUGGCCAUUUUGCUGGACAUGAUGGGCCUCCUGGUGGCAUACGCAGCAGGCAGUACUAGGAAAUGGGAAACAUCCAGGAACGUCAUGGUCCUCAUCGUUCCUGUGUUGGCCUACAUUGGGCUCUACGCAGCACUGUCAGUCUUCUGCCAUAGAGAGAAAAAGACCAAAGUGGCAACAGCCCCCCAAGUUAGGCUCAACUGCAGGUGUGUGGGAGGAACUGCAGGUGUGUAA